Molecule: non-coding RNA, 48 nt
Organism: Schistosoma margrebowiei
Lineage: Eukaryota; Metazoa; Platyhelminthes; Trematoda; Strigeidida; Schistosomatidae
Source: Rfam
AUCCAGCUGACGAGUCCCAAAUAGGACGAAACGCUCAUCAAACUGGAU